Molecule: long non-coding RNA, 332 nt
Organism: Penaeus monodon (black tiger shrimp)
Lineage: Eukaryota; Metazoa; Arthropoda; Malacostraca; Decapoda; Penaeidae
Exons: 3
Source: RefSeq, a predicted model, not a curated record
CAGGAAGUGUGUGAAUCGGUAAGCUGCGUGUCUCCUCAUCGCAUCUCCAUCAGUCUUGCUGGGCCGGCGCUAGAGGGCACGCACUGCGGCGGAGAAAACUGGUGCCGCGGGGGGAAGUGCGUGCCAUGGGGAAGCGAUGGCCCUCUCGAAGUCGUGGACGGGGGGUGGGGCCCCGUGACCACCAGCGAGUGCCAGUCGGGGUGCGUCGAAGGAGGCACAGGUGUGCGGCGCGACCCCGAGGCGGACGGUGGCGGCGCUGGCGAGUCAUAUGUGCAAGACGGUCGCCGAGCUGAAGAAGGAGAUCCUGCCGGAGGGACUGCAGAUGGCCUACA